RNAcentral lists this ribosomal RNA (491 nucleotides) under uncultured bacterium. Its description in RNAcentral is "partial 16S ribosomal RNA". It matches the Rfam family "Bacterial small subunit ribosomal RNA", at positions 29 to 507 of the family's 1533-position model. The record is from RNAcentral.
GUGAACGCUGGCGGUAGGCCUAACACCUGCAAGUCGAACGGCAGCACAGUAAGAGCUUGCUCUUACGGGUGGCGAGUGGCGGACGGGUGAGGAAUACAUCGGAAUCUACUUUUUCGUGGGGGAUAACGUAGGGAAACUUACGCUAAUACCGCAUACGACCUACGGGUGAAAGCAGGGGAUCUUCGGACCUUGCGCGAUUGAAUGAGCCGAUGUCGGAUUAGCUAGUUGGCGGGGUAAAGGCCCACCAAGGCGACGAUCCGUGGCUGGUCUGAGAGGAUGAUCAGCCACACUGGAACUGAGACACGGUCCAGACUCCUACGGGAGGCAGCAGUGGGGAAUAUUGGACAAUGGGCGCAAGCCUGAUCCAGCCAUACCGCGUGGGUGAAGAAGGCCUUCGGGUUGUAAAGCCCUUUUGUUGGGAAAGAAAAGCAGCAGGUUAAUACCCCGCUGUUCUGACGGUACCCAAAGAAUAAGCACCGGCUAACUUCGUG